This 253-nucleotide ribosomal RNA is filed under the name uncultured bacterium. Its description in RNAcentral is "partial 16S ribosomal RNA". It matches the Rfam family "Bacterial small subunit ribosomal RNA", at positions 524 to 776 of the family's 1533-position model. The record is from RNAcentral.
UACGGAGGGCGCGAGCGUUAAUCGGAAUUACUGGGCGUAAAGCGCGCGUAGGCUGUUGUGUAAGUUGGGGGUGAAAUCCCACGGCUCAACCGUGGAACAGCCCUUGAUACUGCGCGACUUGAAUCCGGGAGAGGGUGGCGGAAUUCCAGGUGUAGGAGUGAAAUCCGUAGAUAUCUGGAGGAACAUCAGUGGCGAAGGCGGCCACCUGGACCGGCAUUGACGCUGAGGCGCGAAAGCGUGGGGAGCAAACAGG